RNAcentral lists this ribosomal RNA (498 nucleotides) under uncultured bacterium. Its description in RNAcentral is "partial 16S ribosomal RNA". It matches the Rfam family "Bacterial small subunit ribosomal RNA", at positions 28 to 523 of the family's 1533-position model. The record is from RNAcentral.
GAUGAACGCUAGCGGCAGGCCUAAUACAUGCAAGUCGAGGGAGAAUGUUGGAUUCGUCUGACAUGAAACCGGCGCACGGGUGCGUAACACGUAUGCAACCUACCUUUAACUGGGGUAUAGCUCAGAGAAAUCUGAAUUAAUCCCCCAUAAGACUACGACAUGGCAUCAUGAUGUAGUUAAAGCUCCGGCGGUUAAGGAUGGGCAUGCGGUACAUUAGCUAGUUGGUGAGGUAAUGGCUCACCAAGGCUACGAUGUAUAGGGGGUCUGAGAGGAUGAUCCCCCACACUGGUACUGAGACACGGACCAGACUCCUACGGGAGGCAGCAGUAGGGAAUAUUGGUCAAUGGACGCAAGUCUGAACCAGCCAUGUCGCGUGAAGGAUGAAGGCCCUAUGGGUCGUAAACUUCUUUUAUUAGGGAAGAAAAAACGGGAUGCGUCCUGUACUGACGGUACUUAAUGAAUAAGGAUCGGCUAACUACGUGCCAGCAGCCGCGGUAA